RNAcentral lists this ribosomal RNA (810 nucleotides) under Acinetobacter calcoaceticus. RNAcentral describes it as "bacterial SSU rRNA". It matches the Rfam family "Bacterial small subunit ribosomal RNA", at positions 623 to 1432 of the family's 1533-position model. Lineage: Bacteria; Pseudomonadati; Pseudomonadota; Gammaproteobacteria; Moraxellales; Moraxellaceae. The record is from RNAcentral.
GCAUUCGAUACUGGUUAGCUAGAGUAUGGGAGAGGAUGGUAGAAUUCCCAGGUGUAGCGGUGAAAUGCGUAGAGAUCUGGAGGAAUACCGAUGGCGAAGGCAGCCAUGUGGCCUAAUACUGACACUGAGGUGCGAAAGCAUGGGGAGCAAACAGGAUUAGAUACCCUGGUAGUCCAUGCCGUAAACGAUGUUUACUAGCCGUUGGGGCCCUUGAGGCUUUAGUGGCGCAGCUAACGCGAUAAGUAGACCGCCUGGGGAGUACGGUCGCAAGACUAAAACUCAAAUGAAUUGACGGGGGCCCGCACAAGCGGUGGAGCAUGUGGUUUAAUUCGAUGCAACGCGAAGAACCUUACCUGGCCUUGACAUACAGAGAACUUUCCAGAGAUGGAUUGGUGCCUUCGGGAACUCUGAUACAGGUGCUGCAUGGCUGUCGUCAGCUCGUGUCGUGAGAUGUUGGGUUAAGUCCCGCAACGAGCGCAACCCUUUUCCUUAUUUGCCAGCACUUCGGGUGGGAACUUUAAGGAUACUGCCAGUGACAAACUGGAGGAAGGCGGGGACGACGUCAAGUCAUCAUGGCCCUUACGGCCAGGGCUACACACGUGCUACAAUGGUCGGUACAAAGGGUUGCUACACAGCGAGCUGAUGCUAAUCUCAAAAAGCCGAUCGUAGUCCGGAUCGCAGUCUGCAACUCGACUGCGUGAAGUCGGAAUCGCUAGUAAUCGCGGAUCAGAAUGCCGCGGUGAAUACGUUCCCGGGCCUUGUACACACCGCCCGUCACACCAUGGGAGUUUGUUGCACCAGAAGUAGGUA